GUUGAUGAAUUAUGAGAUGAAUUCGAUUGCCUUUGGUUGUUGCUCUGUUGCAUGAUAUGAACCUACUGCUUGCUAUACCAUGUUGCUAUUACCUUGCUGUAGUUUUGGAAAUCCCAUAAACAUUGGCCUGAAAUUCCUAUGACUGUGGUGAAUGCUAUUGUUUGGUGGCUGUGUAAACAUCACCAUGAAUGCCUUGCUG
This 199-nucleotide long non-coding RNA is filed under the name Lathyrus oleraceus (garden pea). RNAcentral's name for it is "Pisum sativum (pea) long non-coding RNA (PSAT_LNC010865)". The record is from RNAcentral. Lineage: Eukaryota; Viridiplantae; Streptophyta; Magnoliopsida; Fabales; Fabaceae.